GCCGUACUCUGCUAAAAAGCCUCAAACAUGACUGGCAGUCAUGAGGUCAGGGGUUCGAUCCCCCUCGGCUCCA
This 73-nucleotide transfer RNA is filed under the name Acidobacteriota bacterium. Its description in RNAcentral is "tRNA-OTHER". It matches the Rfam family "tRNA". Rfam says of the family: Transfer RNA (tRNA) molecules are approximately 80 nucleotides in length. Their secondary structure includes four short double-helical elements and three loops (D, anti-codon, and T loops). Lineage: Bacteria; Pseudomonadati; Acidobacteriota. The record is from RNAcentral. RNAcentral also lists the same sequence under 1 other name.